UGCUGAUGAAGGCAGAUGGAUGGGUGGCACAGUGGAUCUUCAACAUGGCAGCCCUUUCAUGAAAAGGCCAAAUAUUGUUUCUAGCAAAGAUGACCUUGUCACUGCAAACUCCAACAUAGUGGUUAUCACAGCAGGCGCAUGCCAGAUAUAAGGAGAAACGGGCCUUGAUUUAAUCCAGCGAAAUGUGUCCAUGUUUAAAUGAAUGAUUCCCAGUGUUAUCCAGAGUAGUCACCGCUGCAAGCUGAUUACGGUUUCCAAUCCAGCGGAUGCCUCAACUUAUGUAGCCUGGAAGUCGAGUGCAUUGCCCCAAAACCGUGUUAUUGGGAGUGACUGUCAUCUGGAAACUGCCCAUUUGAUUCUUGACUGGCAGAGCCUUGACAUCCAUUCUGAAAGCUGUCGUGGGUCGGUCCUUGGAGAGCAUGGAGACUUGAGUGUUCCUGUGUGAGUGGAUCUGCUGAAGGAUCUGCUCAGAUAGAGGAACUGAUAAAGAUCCUGAGAGGUGGGAAAACGUCCACAAAGCAGUAGCUGCCAGUGGUUAUGAGAUGAUUAAAAAGAAAGGACACACUUCUUGGAGUGCUGCUCUAUCUGUAGCUGAUUUGGCAAAGUGUUUUGGAGAAUCGCAGAGUGCAUCCAGUUUGCACCGUAAGUAAGAGCCUCUCUGGAAUAAAAGAAGUAUUCCUUAGUGUUCCUCAUAUGCGGGGAGAGAACGGUGUUACAAAUCUCACGAAGGUAAAGGUGACCCCUGAAGAGGAGUCUUGUUUGGAAAAGUGCAGAAACUCUUUGGGAAAUUCAGAAGGAGCUCAAGCUUUAAAUAAAGUUACUUGAGGCCGCCAUUCUGAAGUUCUGCAAGAAGAGACAGUGGUUACAGGCUAUAUGGCAAGCUUUCAAAUAAACUUGAGUUCCUAAAAGUGGGAAAAGGGGCAACAGUGACUGGCUGAUUUUGCAUCCGGAUGUUGCAGGGCAGUUUUCUGCAAUUCCUAGUUCUGGCACACGCAAGUACGUGUUUGCCAUUUGGUCCAAAAGAAUGAAUGAAGCGUGUUUCCUGUGUUUACAGAGACUGAUUCUUUUGUCCUGGCCAAUACCUAUGUUCAUUUGUACAAUAUAAAAAGUUACACUUUCCUCGACAAUAUAAAAAUGAACGUAUACACAAAACUAAAUGGUAGUUCCAAAACUAAUACUAAAUCAAACCAUGAUUUGACCUUGCUUGCUUUUAUUCUGAUAACUUUUACAAAACAUCUAAACUGUAUAUAAACCCUUGAGUGAUGACUGAGACUAAGGUGCGCAUUAUUCUCUGGGGAGAAAUAUAGGGUAGACUGCCUGGCUUCCUAAAUCUUUUAAAACCUGUGAAAAUAGAAUGUUCCUUUUUUGGUUAUCUCAUGAAUUAUCUACCUCAUUUUGAUGGAAAAAAUUCUGUUCUAUUGAGAAGACCUCUGCAGGAAACAUAGCCCACUGAGUGGUCACUAACUUGGCUGAAGAAUCACUCACCAGGAAGACACUUCAUGUGACAGUAAAAAGCAAGGAGGCACUCUACCUUCCUAAACUGUGGCCAGACUGUCUUGCCCAGUUAACGUAAAUCCUGGGCUUGGCACUUGCCACUCUGUUCCCUUCUUCUUGGUGAAAACAGUUAUGGUUUGGUCAAGCCUAGAAAGGAAGCAAAUCUAGGCAAGGAUUGGUAGGAGGGUACCCCAUAGGAUCUGUAACAGAAAAAGUCACUUAAAUCCCUCAAUUUCAAAUAUUUCAAAAGUGAGAUUUCUAUAUGGUAUAUAUCAUAUUAAAUACAAUUCACUUUAUAUAUUACAGAAUAAAAUGCUAAAUUUUAACUUGAUGGUAUUAUGCUUUGUUAGGAUUUCAUUGAUUUUUCCUAAAAAUGUUGAAUAAGGAGAAAAAUUAUGCAACAAAUUUUAUUUAGCAUAGUCAGUCCCAACAUUCAGCACAAAAAGUUUACAGAGGAUAGAAAGUGCAUUAAUAAAAGCCAGUCUUUACCAAAAGAAAACAGAAAAUAUAUUAUUGAUUCAAAAUAUUUUAUACUUGAAUGAUAAACUGCAAUAACUUAUUCUGGGCACCUACUGAUAAGAGAAAGAAAGAGAAGAAAAGAACGCUUUAAGAAGAGUCAAUCUCCAGCUGCUAUCAGAAGUCAGUAGAGGUCACUGAGACCGGCAGUCUUUCUUGCUUUUUGCAUUAGUGCCCUCAGCUGGAACUGCUUACGGGACAGAAGACGGACAUGCUGGGAGGGGGGAGAAAAAGUUUCAACAGUUUAGAACGGAUCUGACGAAAGGCAGGAAGCAUCAGACAGUUUGUAACCUAGAUGGGAUCUAAGAACCCUAAACUCGUAUCUCCUUUCUUUGGAACCGUAUUUCAUUAUAUGUAGCUUUUAAAAACUCUUCUUAAACUAGAUUGACGCUGGCAGGUUGUGUUAAGGAAAUCCCCUUCUGAGAUUGU
Suricata suricatta (meerkat) is the source of this 2439-nucleotide long non-coding RNA. RefSeq lists it as uncharacterized. NCBI's taxonomy places the organism in Eukaryota, Metazoa, Chordata, Mammalia, Carnivora, Herpestidae. The record is from RefSeq and is a predicted model, not a curated record. The transcript is spliced from 6 exons.